GUGCCAGCCGCCGCGGUAAUACAGAGGGUGCGAGCGUUAAUCGGAAUUACUGGGCGUAAAGCGCGCGUAGGCGGCUUUGUAAGUCGGUUGUGAAAUCCCCGGGCUUAACCUGGGAACUGCAUCCGAGACUGCAUAGCUAGAGUAUGGGAGAGGGAAGUGGAAUUUCAGGUGUAGCGGUGAAAUGCGUAGAUAUCUGAAGGAACAUCAGUGGCGAAAGCGACUUCCUGGACCAAUACUGACGCUCAUGUGCGAAAGCGUGGGGAGCAAACAGGAUUAGAUACCCUGGUAGUCCACGCCAUAAACGAUGAGAACUGGAUGUCGGAGGGGUCUGCCCUUCGGUGUCGUAGCUAACGCGUUAAGUUCUCCGCCUGGGGAGUACGGCCGCAAGGUUGAA
This 394-nucleotide ribosomal RNA is filed under the name uncultured bacterium. RNAcentral's name for it is "bacterial SSU rRNA". It matches the Rfam family "Bacterial small subunit ribosomal RNA", at positions 505 to 898 of the family's 1533-position model. The record is from RNAcentral.